This 346-nucleotide ribosomal RNA is filed under the name uncultured bacterium. RNAcentral describes it as "partial 16S ribosomal RNA". It matches the Rfam family "Bacterial small subunit ribosomal RNA", at positions 338 to 681 of the family's 1533-position model. The record is from RNAcentral.
CCUACGGGAGGCAGCAGUGAGGAAUAUUGGUCAAUGGGCGCGAGCCUGAACCAGCCAAGUAGCGUGAAGGAUGACGGCCCUACGGGUUGUAAACUUCUGUUAUAAAGGAAUAAAGUGAGGCACGUGUGCCUUUUUGUAUGGACUGUAUGAAUAAGGAUCGGCUAACGCCGUGCCAGCAGCCGCGGUAAUACGGAGGAUCCGAGCGUUAUCCGGAUUUAUUGGGGUUAAAGGGAGCGUAGAUGGGUUUUUAAGUCAGUUGUGAAAGUUUGCGGCUCACCCGUAAAAUUGCACUUGCUACUGGCAGCCUUGCGUACCGUUGCGGUCGGCGGACUUCGUGGUGUAGCGG